Molecule: long non-coding RNA, 1209 nt
Filed under: Androctonus crassicauda
Lineage: Eukaryota; Metazoa; Arthropoda; Arachnida; Scorpiones; Buthidae
Source: RNAcentral
GCUUAAUGCAGAAUAUUAUUCACCAUUAAUUUUCACGUGUUUCGAGUUUAAAAGUAAAAUGAUAAUCUUUUAAAAAAAAAGACGUUACUGUCAUUUCCGAUUACUGGGAAAGUUUAUGUCGGUACUUUAAUUUUUCCAAUCUAUUUUGCAUUUUCGAGUCAUCCCCAUCGAGAAUAGUUGGAACAAUAAAGCCAUCUCGGAUAGUCAUUAUAGUUAACGCUACAGAUAUCGACAGUGGAACUAACUACCGUCCAUUUGUUUCUCAGUAGUUAACAUUAACAAUACUGUCUUUAAAUGUCAAUCUGUUUAUCUACAUUUUGUCGUAAUUACGGUGCAGGUACGUUGCGACAAUGUUGAUUCGUAUUCGGUAGGAAAAUUGCUUCCUAGUGAACAGUUAGAGGAGUUUCUAAAUUCCUUUUAUGUUCGGAAGUGCGCAGUAAUAGAGGAAGACAAAUUACCAGGAUAUACUUACCCAUUUAAACAAACUUACACGCUAUUGGCACACUGGUAGAUAAACAAGCUUCUAAUUUAAGAGUAAUAUUAAAGAUAUAUUAUUCGGCAAACAUAGAUUUCCGAUGGUAGAUACGUAUUCACCAUUCGUUUUUUCCCCCGAACUGUUUAUUAUCCAGAUAAGUACUAAUUGUAAGCGGAAAGAAGACAUUCAAAUAUAUCUAAGGAGAAUACGGAUUAAAUUAUUCGUACAAUUCGGAGAAUUUCGAUGAAUAGCUUCGAGUAAAUUCCUCCUUUUCCGGAUUCCGAAAACAAAACAAACAUUUUCCCUGUCAAAAUGUCAUCCUGUUUACUGGCAAUUGUCUGGAAAGAGUAAGAGGAUUUAUAAUCAAUUUUUGAUGAAAAUUUAUCGCAUUCGAAUAUUUUAAUCACAGUUUACAUUUACAGUUGGAAUUCUGGCCGAAAUAUAGAUUUUUGCCUUUUAUGGUGGCUGUGCUCUUUUUUGCCAGAGCGACUCUCUUACGCGGUCUCCAAUGCGCUACUAUUAUGUUUUUUAUUUCCGAUUUCAUGGUACGCAAGUUUGAAUUUAAAAAUAUUUACUUCUAUUUUAUUGCUAUUUUUCAGAAGAAUAGUAUUUUAUCCCAUUCGAGAUUCGAUGAGAAAAAUCAAUGUCAAUUAUUCGCCUAUCAGAUAAAACCGAAUACGAUAUUUAUUAAUCGUAAUUAUUUUAUUGAAAAGUUUUCCAAAGACGACCGUGAC